GGAGAGAGAGAGAUUGAGAGAGAGAGAGAGAGAGAAAAGAAAAAGCUUCUUUUUUCCUUCUUUCAUUAAGAUAAAUUCUUCAGUACACAACCUCUCCCACGAAUUGUGUAUUAGCAAUGUUUUUUAUCUUGAGAGCUGACGCACUGGGCUCUCAAUGUGGUGUGGAAAGCAAGCCUGUUACAGUACUGGAUUCAUAAAAGGGCCUUUAUGGUUAGUGAAAGAAUAUCUGUGUGCUUAGGCAGGAAACUUUUUGAUCUGCAAAAAAGCCAGAAGACAUCUAGACCAGAGUAGGGGUGAUCAUCUCAUUGAGAAGCAUACAGUGUGAAAAGGUUUUUCAAAACACUUCGGGAUAAAUAACAGAUGAAUUCUUAAAAACUGUUAAUCUCUGGCAUCCUUAGCAACUAACCAGAGAACACUUCAUACACCUAUAAAGGCAUUUGAACUGGGCAAACAGGACGACAGCAGCAGUGAGCAUGAGAUCAUUGCAGCCGUGUAGCAAACUGGCAUCCUGCCUUUUCACCCCUUUGGUUCGGGAGACAAGCGUGUACAGUCCUCAUUUCUAAAGUCAGCACAGCCCGGAAGGAUUCCUGGUCUCUCCCACCUUCUACCAUUCUGCUGCCAGUGACGGCAAGGAUUGGUGCAGCUUCUGCGCAGUGCUUUGUGCCUGGAAUACGGAGAAGGAAGAGAAAGAAGACAAGCACUCUCGUCCUUCUUUGCUAAGAAAUAACAGGAACCCUGAAGAAAAAAAAAAAAAAAAUCUGUCUUACUUCAUGCAAGAGUUCUGAAAAAAAAAUUAUGAGAGACUCCUACUCAAAAAAACAAAAAACAAAAACAAACAAAAAGCCAAAUCAAAACAAAUUAAAAAAAAAACAACAAAAAAGCAAACCUUGGCUUGUAUAACUACAGAGACUUCGGGCUUGGUAAAGCAGCUUUUAAGGCAACAUAAUCAAAUGAGCCUUCUUUAUUUUUAUGAUUUCAAAAAAUAUGGCAUAAUUAACAAUACAUUGCUCUUGGUGAAAUCGCACCUUUCAUAUCAGGGAAAAACUUAAAAUGGAUAUGAGAAGUGAAGAAAGUGAUCAUAGGAGAAAAUCAUCUCAGAACCAUCAUAGAAGAUUUGGUACAGACUUUGAUGAUCCAGCAACUGACCUCCUUCUUCUGGACCAGACAAACCAGUGUAUUGCUACAUGUUCCAUAUUGUGUAACUUGAGAAAUCCACAUGGGAGAGAAUAGAAUGCUUUUCUUUAUAGGUCCUUUGAAUGUUAUUCAGUGGCUGCUCUCACAGGACUACUGGAUAAAGAAAACUACCUGAAUUUUCAGUCAUAUAAUGUAUAGUUAGAUCAGAAAUAGUUGGGCAACAAAAUGAAUAAUGAAUCAAUGGAAAAUGAAUUAAUUAAUUAAACGUACAAGCAAUGACUUUAACGAAGUCAUAUUAGAUAUUACAGUUCUGUGUUUGAUAUGUUGCAAAAUUUAAAUAAAAAUAGAAGAUGUCUCUAGACCAUCAAUUAUUCAGUUAAACCAGUUAUUCAGACCCUUUUAAUCAUGAUAACCAUCCCUCUUCUGCACCAUCAAAGGAGGAAAUUCAAAUGGAGGGAUAUGUCACAUGGAGAUAGGCAUUCAAUUUAACACUAGACAUAAAGAACUACAAUUUGAAACCCCUAGGAUCCUCAACAUUUGGGAAUCAGCUAAGCAAAUUAUGCUACAUUCCCAAAAUGAAAUCUUUAAAGCUACUUAAAUGAUUAAUUGGACAAACAGUAGCACGUGACAAAGGAAAGAACAUGAACUUGGGAUAGACACACUCGUGUUUGAGUCACACUUCCAAAAUGUUCCAGACACAAAGAGAAUUCUGGAAUCUCUGGGUCCUCUUGGAGGUUCUGUACAGGGUCCUCCCUGACAUGACAGAGACUGUUCAUGCUUUUGUGCCAUGAAACAUGUUCAGUAGUGUGCUUUCGGAGAGGCCCAUUUAAUUUUUAAAUAAUUUUUUUUUGUAGUGGUAAAUGGAUAGAAUGACUUUAUUUGUUUAUUUUUAUGUGGUGCUAAGGGUCUAACCCAGUGCCUCACACCUGCUGGACAAGCACUCUGCCACUAGCUGCAGCCCCAGCCCAAGGCUGAUUUAAUUUUGAAAGGUAGUGUGACAAAACUUCUAGGAAAGGAAUGAACUUUGAAAUCAGGUCACCAUCAAAUAUAUCACAUUGGGUACAUUCCUUGACGUCUUUGAAUCUCAGAUUCCUUUCAAUAAUUUGCAAUUAAUUAUAGUGUUUACCUAAUGGGAUCACUGUGAUGAUAAAGCGGCAUUAUAUAUACUAGCACAGAUCCAGGUAGGAAUUAGGUUUUAAAUAAAUGCUAAUUGUUAGCAUUGUUAUGGAUCUUUAUAAUAGUAUUUUUAUUAGUAAUACACUAAAAUGGCUACUCAAAAAAGAUUUUUAUGGCUGAAUUUUGCCUGAAUUAUGAAUUUCCAGUACCACAUUAAACACCCUCUGUCGCCCAACCCCAACAGAAUUGCUUGGUCAGUUUUCCUAGUAACAUUAUUUGCAUAAAACAACAUUUUUUAACCUCUUUAGCUUGAUCAUGUCCCAAGUAUGUAUGAAUCCCCACCUGUCAGCCUUUGCUCCUGUUCAGCCCACAGACAAGAUGCCCUGCCUCCUCCUCCUUCUCAUCCUUCAAGGCUAAUUCAAAUGGAGUCCUUGCUCUGAGCCUUUCACAAAGUACUCAGUACACAGUGAAUCUUCCCUGUGUUCUCAAAUCACUGUACAUCCUAGAAUGCUUUGCGUCUUCCACGUUUUCCACGUGUCUAUCUGACUUGUCCCCUACAGGCUAUCUCUCUUCUCAUUUUAGUUAUUCUUUAGCAACUAAGUCUCUUAUACACAGGGAACACAUAAAAAUAUGUCAAUUUAAAUUCACGAGUGACUGAAAGCUCUGCAAAUAACCUCCUGUAACUCUUGAUAGGCAUGUGCCAUUUGAAGUGCCCACCUAUGUAUAAUCUAUCGCAUUUUUAGGUUCUGAAUUUUGUUUUUACGAGACUGAUUUUAAAAAGACCAAAUGUAUUGGAAUAUUUGACACGAAGUCUCUUUCCCACCCCCCGACUCCCUUUUAAUUAACUGUAUGGAUAGAAGCCUUAUGGGUACAAUUAUAUGGGUAUAAUUUUCUUUCUCUCUAACCUAGUUCAUGAACAUUGCCUAUUAUGUAGCUCACGUGCUCUAUCCCUAGUUACAACAAUGCCUGCAAUAUUUUGAGAAGUUUUUACUAGUUCAAGAUGAAGAAAGAUAAAUUCAUUGGUUGGCAUGAUAUAUUUGGAAGCCCUUUUGAUUCUCAAACUCAAGAAAUUUCAAACUUAACAUUUCAUAAUUCUUUGCAAAGGAAAAAAUUUCAGUUAUUUAAAAGUGAAUAAUUACAAGGAUGGCAAAAGUGAGGAAAAAAUAGGCCAAGACUUGACCCAAAUGUAGUAUUAGCUGAUCUUAACAUAUUUUUUAGUUUUAAUCUAAUUGAAAUAAAUUUUUUUAACAGUCUGGUAUAUAACUUUAGCCAUUGAUACCCAAUAUUAAUUAGGCCUCCUCUUAUAGAUUCCUGAUUUCCUCAUAUGUUUACAAAUUUAUUUUUACAGAAAAUUACUGAGUGAGUUACUACAAAGAUCACCUAUUAUAAAAUUUUGUAGUUUCAAUUCCUGUGUAUGUUAAAUGCACAUAUAUACACACAUUUAUACAUACACAAAUACAUACACAUACUUAUAAUUUCCCCCUACAAAUUUACACCCAAACUGUUGGCCUGCUCUUUCUUGAUAUAGAAAAUCUGACAAACCUCUGAUACCCCUGGUACAAAGCCAUCUAAAAUGGUUAGUGGUAUAUACCUUCUGACACAGUCAAUACGUUGGAUAAUCCAAACACUUAAUAUGCCUCACCAUAAUUUUAGUAUUUUGAAAUAUCCUGAUUUGUUUUACUUGGUAUUUUUAUUGAGUGAAUAUCAUCAAGAAUCAAUCUGAUAAAGAAAUAACAAGCCUUGCCAGAAUUUGGAACAAAAAACCCAUUAAGUUUUCAAACUAUCCAGGUUAGUCUUUGAAAAACCUUUAUUCCUGCUCUUAUGCAAUGGUGAACUUAAACUUUAAAGAUAAUCCCACUGGUAUUUUGCAAGUCAACAAGAUCCAGCUCUCUUUUAUCAGAAAUGGAAAAAAAUAAACCUGUUUAGAUGUUUAUUUUUCUUUAAAUAGAAAAGGGACAAAUUAGUUCAUGUGUAAUCCUAACUUGGAAUUACUAUUUGAUUUAAAUCCUAUGGAUAGAAGGCUUAUGGGCAUAAUUAUAUAAGUAUAAUUUUCUUUCUGUCUAGAAGACUCUAGAAUAUGUGUUAAGAAUCUUAUUUGGUUUCACCCCAUGUUACUUUUCCAACACAACCUUACAGAAUUCUCCUCAUGUUAAUUUUUGUACAAGAAAACUGGACUUGCCUCCCUUCUCUGAAUUUUUUAUUACCAUUCUAUGUUGCCAAAUUCCAAAUCACUUUUAAAUAUGUAAAAUUCUACAAUUUCCCAUGGAGAUUUGUAAUCAUUACAAGCAAAAAUGCAUACGAAAUAACUAUUAUAAACAAAUGCUGCUUUAAUGAAGUUUAGAAUUAAAAAGACUUUACUAAAUAACAAUCAAAUACAAUUCUUUAGGCUAGUUUAAUGAUAAUUAUACUUAAAUAACAUACAUUACAAAUUUAUGUUGCUACUCUUCUAACACCUAGCCCUAAGAAAUAAAAACUAUUAUCACAAAAUUCAUAUACAAUAUGAUUGAUGUGGAGUUGCAAUGUUAAUCAAAUGACAUUCUUCUAGUACUUGGAAUCAAUCUAAUAUUAAUGCACUAAAUAAUAAGAGUAAAUAUGAUAACCAAUAGAAUAAUUGCCUGUUUUAGAUCAUUUUUCCUCAGUCUACUAGCAUAAAACUAGAUAAGAAACCUAGUAUUAAUCUUUAUAAAGUCUGGCACAUCUUUUUGCCUUUACUAAGCUCAUGAUAAAACAGAAAUGACAGUGUUCUAUGAAGUUCUCAAAGUCUAUGUUCCAUGGAUUAUAUAUUAAAUGUUUAUUUUAUAAGUUAAAGUCCUGAGAAAUUAUGAGUAAAGAAAUUUGGUGAAAAAAUUAAAUCAAACUUCAUAAUGCCAAUUUAAGUAAGGAACUAUCUUGGGAAAUUUUAUUAGUAAGUAAGCAUAUCACAGGAUAUCAUCGGUUAUGAAAACAUGAAAGAUGUUAUUUUGUAACAAGAAUAGCAACCCUCUUAUUUUCUCUCAGUUGAAGUUGUAAUGGAAGGUUACUUUUUGUUUGGUUUUUCUAUGAUCAAGAAUUAGUGAAAUGUGUUCAACUUCUGUUAGUAUAGUUGACUUUUUAUCAUAGAAAAUAAAAAUUUUUGAAUAUUUUUACUCUUACGAAUGUAAUAAAUACAUAUAUGUAAAUGUGUUUAUAUAUAAAUAUAUCAUGUUACAGAUAUUUCAACAGUGUUAUAAAUUUGAAUGAAUAUAUAGUAUCAUAGGACUAUAGGAUUAGGGAAUCAAUGUGAAUUGAAAUAAUUAAAAUGUUUAUAAAUAGUUCUGAAAAUUCAGUGGUAAGAAUUCACUUAUAAAGCAAACUAAUAUUUCUAGUAUUAUAGUAGAGAAUAGAAUGUGGUGGUUUACUAAUUUUAGUUACAUUUUAAAACAUGGAUACAUUUCCCUGGUUGUUUGAUUUUAAAUAACGUAUUAAUAAAAUUAAGCUAUGCCCAUUCACAUUUUUUUUUCUCCAUAAAUUUAGCUUUCCUUCUACUCAUCAAGUUAGCUAGUAUACUCUGGUUACUUCCGGACUGUUUGGUUCAUAUUCUGAAAAGGUUUGUGUUUUUUUAUUGUUUGUGUAUUUUUUAAAUAAAAUUCACCCCAAAGUGAUGAAAUUUGAGGUAAGAAAAAUCUGGAAUUUUACAUUUCAGGAAACAGUAGUGUAAGCUUAUUUUAUUUUAGAAUUUUUGAAAUUAUUCACCAAAACAAUUCUUAUUCUCUAUGUUGUCUAGAAAGGUUAUGUGCUUUCUUUUAUAACUCAUUUCAAGUUAAUAACCAGUGAUAAGCAUGAAUAUAAAACUCUUGCCUUUUGGUUACUAAAAAUUUCCCAUUAUCCUAAAAUUCUUAAAGGCACAUUGACAACUUCAUUGUUUAUUAAAUAACAUAUCUAACUAUUUCAGACCAUGUUUCUACAUAGCAUAUAUAUAUAUACUGUAGCUGACAUAAAAUCAACCACAUGUUUAAGAAGAGAAUAAGAAAAUGAACUUGUUAUGGUUUGAGUAUGAGGUGUCCCUCAGUCACUCAUGAGACAAUGUAACAAUAGGUGAAAUUAGUAGCUUAUGAGAACUGUAACCUAAUCAAUGAAUUAAUUGAAUUGAUGGAUUAAUAAUUUGAAAGGACUACUUUACUGUGUGAUAGCUGUAGGCAGGUAGGGUGUGGCUAUAGAAAGUCAGUCAGUGGGGGAGUGCUUUUGGGGUUUAUAUUUUAUCCCUGGCACCUUGCUUGCUCUUUCUCUCUGCUUCCCGCUGCCAAGAGUGAGCAGCUUUCCUCUGCCACACCCUAUUGCCAUGAUAUUCUGCCUUGCCUUGGCCCCAAAGCAAUGGAGUUGGUUGAACAUGGACUGAAGACUCUGAAUCAGGGAGCCCAAAUAAAUCUUUCCUUCUCUAAGUUGUUCUUGUCAGGUUCUUUGAGCACAGCAAUGAAAAGCUGACUAACACAAAAAACUUAAACACCUUUAUGUGAAUUUAGUAUUAAAUGGGGACUCUCUGCUUGUUGUGUGAUCAUCUGUCCUUCA
Molecule: long non-coding RNA, 6774 nt
Organism: Sciurus carolinensis (gray squirrel)
Lineage: Eukaryota; Metazoa; Chordata; Mammalia; Rodentia; Sciuridae
Exons: 6
Source: RefSeq, a predicted model, not a curated record